AAAUUGAAGAGUUUGAUCAUGGCUCAGAUUGAACGCUGGCGGCAGGCCUAACACAUGCAAGUCGAACGGUAACAGGAAGAAGCUUGCUUCUUUGCUGACGAGUGGCGGACGGGUGAGUAAUGUCUGGGAAACUGCCUGAUGGAGGGGGAUAACUGCUGGAAACGGUAGCUAAUACCGCAUAACGUCGCAAGACCAAAGAGGGGGACCUUCGGGCCUCUUGCCAUCGGAUGUGCCCAGAUGGGAUUAGCUAGUAGGUGGGGUAACGGCUCACCUAGGCGACGAUCCCUAGCUGGUCUGAGAGGAUGACCAGCCACACUGGAACUGAGACACGGUCCAGACUCCUACGGGAGGCAGCAGUGGGGAAUAUUGCACAAUGGGCGCAAGCCUGAUGCAGCCAUGCCGCGUGUAUGAAGAAGGCCUUCGGGUUGUAAAGUACUUUCAGCGGGGAGGAAGGGAGUAAAGUUAAUACCUUUGCUCAUUGACGUUACCCGCAGAAGAAGCACCGGCUAACUCCGUGCCAGCAGCCGCGGUAAUACGGAGGGUGCAAGCGUUAAUCGGAAUUACUGGGCGUAAAGCGCACGCAGGCGGUUUGUUAAGUCAGAUGUGAAAUCCCCGGGCUCAACCUGGGAACUGCAUCUGAUACUGGCAAGCUUGAGUCUCGUAGAGGGGGGUAGAAUUCCAGGUGUAGCGGUGAAAUGCGUAGAGAUCUGGAGGAAUACCGGUGGCGAAGGCGGCCCCCUGGACGAAGACUGACGCUCAGGUGCGAAAGCGUGGGGAGCAAACAGGAUUAGAUACCCUGGUAGUCCACGCCGUAAACGAUGUCGACUUGGAGGUUGUGCCCUUGAGGCGUGGCUUCCGGAGCUAACGCGUUAAGUCGACCGCCUGGGGAGUACGGCCGCAAGGUUAAAACUCAAAUGAAUUGACGGGGGCCCGCACAAGCGGUGGAGCAUGUGGUUUAAUUCGAUGCAACGCGAAGAACCUUACCUGGUCUUGACAUCCACGGAAGUUUUCAGAGAUGAGAAUGUGCCUUCGGGAACCGUGAGACAGGUGCUGCAUGGCUGUCGUCAGCUCGUGUUGUGAAAUGUUGGGUUAAGUCCCGCAACGAGCGCAACCCUUAUCCUUUGUUGCCAGCGGUCCGGCCGGGAACUCAAAGGAGACUGCCAGUGAUAAACUGGAGGAAGGUGGGGAUGACGUCAAGUCAUCAUGGCCCUUACGACCAGGGCUACACACGUGCUACAAUGGCGCAUACAAAGAGAAGCGACCUCGCGAGAGCAAGCGGACCUCAUAAAGUGCGUCGUAGUCCGGAUUGGAGUCUGCAACUCGACUCCAUGAAGUCGGAAUCGCUAGUAAUCGUGGAUCAGAAUGCCACGGUGAAUACGUUCCCGGGCCUUGUACACACCGCCCGUCACACCAUGGGAGUGGGUUGCAAAAGAAGUAGGUAGCUUAACCUUCGGGAGGGCGCUUACCACUUUGUGAUUCAUGACUGGGGUGAAGUCGUAACAAGGUAACCGUAGGGGAACCUGCGGUUGGAUCACCUCCUUA
RNAcentral lists this ribosomal RNA (1542 nucleotides) under Escherichia coli. RNAcentral's name for it is "bacterial SSU rRNA". It matches the Rfam family "Bacterial small subunit ribosomal RNA". The record is from RNAcentral. Lineage: Bacteria; Pseudomonadati; Pseudomonadota; Gammaproteobacteria; Enterobacterales; Enterobacteriaceae.